AAAAACAAAAUUAAUAAAAUAUAAAAUAAUAAAAAUAAUUUUAAUAUAAAUAUUAUAAUGGGGGUUAAAGUAUUUAUAAAGAAAAAAUUUUAAAUUUUAUAAGGAAUUAGUAUUGUAAAAUAAUUUUGAAAUAUUUGAAAAUUUAUUUAUUAAAAAGUAAAUUUAAAUUAUUGUAUCUUGUGUAUCAGAGUUUAUUAAAUAAAAUUUUAUUUAAAAUAAUUUCGAAUUAAAAAGAGAUAAUUAAUUAAUAAAAUUAAUGUGGCAUAAUUAUUUUAAAUAAUUAAUUUGAAAUGAAAUGUUAAUCGUUUUUUAAUAUAUCUAAUUUUUUUAGAAAAAAAUUUAAUUUUAAAAUUUUUAUUGGUAAUAAUUAAUUAAUAAAAUUAUUAUAAUAAAAAUUUCAAUAUUUUAAGGGAUAAGCUUUAAAUUAAAUUGUUAAAAUUAAAUUAAUUUUAUUUAAAAUUUUUAAAAUUUAAAUUGUUUAAAAAUUAAAAUUUAUUAUAAAUUAUUUUAAAUUAAAUAAAAUUUAAUUGAAUUUAAUUUUUUAAAAAAAAAAAUUAUUUAAUUUUAAAAUAGAAGAAAUAAUGAUAAAAUUAGUAUAAUAUAAAAUAAAUUUAUAAAUUUAUUUUAAGAUAAUUAAAAGGAAUUCGGCAAAAAUUUAUAUUCACUUGUUUAUCAAAAACAUGUCUUUUUGAAAAUAAUUUAAAGUCUAAUCUGCCCACUGAUAUAAAUUAAAGGGCUGCAGUAUUUUGACUGUACAAAGGUAGCAUAAUCAUUAGUCUUUUAAUUGAAGACUUGUAUGAAAGAUUGAAUGAAAUAUAAACUGUCUUUUAAAUAAAUAUAGAAAUUAAUUAUUUAGUUAAAAAGCUAAAAUAAUUUUAAAAGACGAGAAGACCCUAUAGAGUUUUAUAAUAGUUAUAUUAUUUAUAUUAUAUAAAAAUUUAAAUAAAAAAUAUAUUUAUUAUUUUGUUGGGGUGAUAAAAAAAUUAAAUAAACUUUUUUUAAAUUUAAACAAAAAUAAUUGAGUAAAUGAUCCAUUAAUAAUGAUUAUAAGAAUAAAUUACCUUAGGGAUAACAGCGUAAUAUUUUUUUUUAGUUCAAAUAAAAAAAAAAGUUUGCGACCUCGAUGUUGGAUUAAGAUAAAAAUUAAAUGCAAAAGUUUAAAUUUUUGAUCUGUUCGAUCAUUAAAAUCUUACAUGAUCUGAGUUCAAACCGGUGUAAGCCAGGUUGGUUUCUAUCUUUAAAUAAAAAAAAAUAUUUUAGUACGAAAGGAUUAAAUAUUUAAAAUAAUUUUAAUUGAAAGAAUAUUAUUAAUUAUAUAUAUAUAUAUAUAUAUA
RNAcentral lists this ribosomal RNA (1334 nucleotides) under Abisara chela. RNAcentral's name for it is "l6S ribosomal RNA". Lineage: Eukaryota; Metazoa; Arthropoda; Insecta; Lepidoptera; Riodinidae. The record is from RNAcentral.